UACGUAGGGUGCAAGCGUUAAUCGGAAUUACUGGGCGUAAAGCGUGCGCAGGCGGCUGUGUAAGACAGAUGUGAAAUCCCCGGGCUCAACCUGGGAACUGCAUUUGUGACUGCACAGCUGGAGUGCGGAAGAGGGGGAUGGAAUUCCGCGUGUAGCAGUGAAAUGCGUAGAUAUGCGGAGGAACACCGAUGGCGAAGGCAAUCCCCUGGGCCUGCACUGACGCUCAUGCACGAAAGCGUGGGGAGCAAACAGG
Molecule: ribosomal RNA, 253 nt
Filed under: uncultured bacterium
Lineage: Bacteria
Description: partial 16S ribosomal RNA
Rfam family: Bacterial small subunit ribosomal RNA
Source: RNAcentral